UAAUAACCGGAGGAAGGUGGGGAUGACGUCAAAGUCCUCAUGGCCCUUACAGGGUGGGCUACACACGUGCUACAAUGGCGACUACAGAGGGUUAAUCCUUAAAAGUCGUCUCAGUUCGGAUUGUCCUCUGCAACUCGAGGGCAUGAAGUUGGAGUCGCUAGUAAUCGCAGAUCAGCAACGCUGCGGUGAAUACGUUCCCGGGCCUU
RNAcentral lists this ribosomal RNA (206 nucleotides) under uncultured Brevundimonas sp. Its description in RNAcentral is "partial 16S ribosomal RNA". It matches the Rfam family "Bacterial small subunit ribosomal RNA", at positions 1157 to 1382 of the family's 1533-position model. The record is from RNAcentral. Lineage: Bacteria; Pseudomonadati; Pseudomonadota; Alphaproteobacteria; Caulobacterales; Caulobacteraceae.